AUUGAACGCUGGCGGCAGGCCUAACACAUGCAAGUCGAGCGGAUGAAGGGAGCUUGCUCCUGGAUUCAGCGGCGGACGUGUGAGUAAUGCCUAGGAAUCUGCCUGGUAGUGGGGGAUAACGUCCGGAAACGGGCGCUAAUACCGCAUACGUCCUGAGGGAGAAAGUGGGGGAUCUUCGGACCUCACGCUAUCAGAUGAGCCUAGGUCGGAUUAGCUAGUUGGUGGGGUAAAGGCCUACCAAGGCGACGAUCCGUAACUGGUCUGAGAGGAUGAUCAGUCACACUGGAACUGAGACACGGUCCAGACUCCUACGGGAGGCAGCAGUGGGGAAUAUUGGACAAAGGGCGAAAGCCUGAUCCAGCCAUGCCGCGUGUGUGAAGAAGGUCUUCGGAUUGUAAAGCACUUUAAGUUGGGAGGAAGGGUAGUAAGUUAAUACCUUGCUGUUUUGACGUUACCAACAGAAUAAGCACCGGCUAACUUCGUG
RNAcentral lists this ribosomal RNA (484 nucleotides) under uncultured bacterium. RNAcentral describes it as "partial 16S ribosomal RNA". It matches the Rfam family "Bacterial small subunit ribosomal RNA", at positions 30 to 507 of the family's 1533-position model. The record is from RNAcentral.